Molecule: ribosomal RNA, 576 nt
Filed under: uncultured bacterium
Lineage: Bacteria
Description: bacterial SSU rRNA
Rfam family: Bacterial small subunit ribosomal RNA
Source: RNAcentral
AACGGACUCGUAUUGAAACCUAGUGAUAUAUGAGUUAGUGGCGGACGGGUGAGUAACGCGUGGGUAACCUGCCUUACACAGGGGGAUAACACUUAGAAAUAGGUGCUAAAACCGCAUAAGCGCACAGCUUUGCAUGAAGCAGUGUGAAAAACUCCGGUGGUGUAAGAUGGACCCGCGUCUGAUUAGCUUGUUGGCGGGGUAACGGCCCACCAAGGCGACGAUCAGUAGCCGGCCUGAGAGGGCGGACGGCCACAUUGGGACUGAGACACGGCCCAGACUCCUACGGGAGGCAGCAGUGGGGAAUAUUGCACAAUGGGGGAAACCCUGAUACAGCGACGCCGCGUGAGUGAAGAAGUAAUUCGUUACGUAAAGCUCUAUCAGCAGGGAAGAAAUACUGACCUUACGGUCAGCAGACGGUACCUGAGUAAGAAGCCCCGGCUAACUACGUGCCAGCAGCCGCGGUAAUACGUAGGGGGCAAGCGUUAUCCGGAUUUACUGGGUGUAAAGGGAGCGUAGACGGUACGCCAAGUCUGAAGUGAAAUGCCGCAGCUUAACUGCGGAACUGCUUUGGAAACU